Molecule: ribosomal RNA, 468 nt
Filed under: uncultured bacterium
Lineage: Bacteria
Description: partial 16S ribosomal RNA
Rfam family: Bacterial small subunit ribosomal RNA
Source: RNAcentral
GACGAACGCUGGCGGCGUGCUUAACACAUGCAAGUCGAACGGAAAGGCCCUGCUUUUGUGGGGUGCUCGAGUGGCGAACGGGUGAGUAACACGUGAGUAACCUGCCCUUGACUUUGGGAUAACUUCAGGAAACUGGGGCUAAUACCGGAUAGGAGCUCCUGCUGCAUGGUGGGGGUUGGAAAGUUUCGGCGGUUGGGGAUGGACUCGCGGCUUAUCAGCUUGUUGGUGGGGUAGUGGCUUACCAAGGCUUUGACGGGUAGCCGGCCUGAGAGGGUGGCCGGCCACAUUGGGACUGAGAUACGGCCCAGACUCCUACGGGAGGCAGCAGUGGGGAAUAUUGCACAAUGGGCGGAAGCCUGAUGCAGCAACGCCGCGUGCGGGAUGACGGCCUUCGGGUUGUAAACCGCUUUCGCCUGUGACGAAGCGUGAGUGACGGUAAUGGGUAAAGAAGCACCGGCUAACUACGUG